Molecule: non-coding RNA, 2565 nt
Organism: Oryctolagus cuniculus (rabbit)
Lineage: Eukaryota; Metazoa; Chordata; Mammalia; Lagomorpha; Leporidae
Source: RefSeq, a predicted model, not a curated record
GCCCAGGGGAGUGGUGUUUGGGUAGCUGUCAGGUGCUCUGGGAGGCCCAGGGGUCCCCUGCUGCUUUCUUCAGGAAAUGGGUGUGUAUGAGUUGAGGAACUCUGGGUGGCUCUGUUCUCUCCUGUGAUUUCCUUUGAGAAACGUUACGCAUUUGAUAAAAAUGAGAAGGUCUGAAGUCUCCUGAACUAGACCAACCUCUCAGUCUCCUAGCAAAGGAACCUGCCCUAGGGAAGCGGAGAGUCUACCCCUAGUUUCUCAGCAAGUGCACGUCUUGGCGGGAGCCAGCACCCCAGCCUGCUGACCCACCGCUCCACCCGAGGCCACUUCUCCUCCCCUACUUUCCUGUGUCCCCCCUGGGCUCAAGACAGUCGAGCAGGGUGGGUGGGGGGAAACCGAGGCAACCAGCAGGCAUGCUCCAGACAUCACUGCUUGAAUGCUCCACGUCCCCAACAAGCAAAGUCAUCCACAGUCCUUGAACUCUGAGCCUCCGUGACCCCCUCCCUCAUGUACACAUGCUCCCAUGCGAUGCCCCAAGGCUCAGUGUGCCCAGAACCACAGGCAGCUCCAGGCAUCAUCAUGGUGGGCAGGCUGGGCUGGCUGGUCACAUCCGGGGCAGAGCCGGGGAGAACUUGGUGGUGCUGGUCCCGGAGGGCAGAGGGAGCUCCAUCUGGGAGGAAAGUUCAUUUCCCAGGAGAGAGCCUGUUCUUGCUUGGAGCCUGUGAUCUCCCAGUGUGUUAAUUCCAUUUCUUCUCAAGUUGGUUUUUUUAGGACAUGGGCUAUUUAUAGCUCCCCCUAAACCCUUUUCAGUCUGUUUCCUGUUCAAGUACUGCAUUAGUCACCAGAAAAUGUCUCAAACAAUCUCUGCAUCUCUGCCUGAAUCCAGCCACAUGGGGACUUAGGGGUACUGGUGGGACUCAGGGCCGACCCCAGUCGGGAGGUGGGAGGCAGGGGGCUGGCUGAGGAGGUGAGGGGGGGGCAUCUCUGGUCCCCCUUCCUGCGUGGCGUGAAGCGCUGAAUGCUUGUGGCUUCCUAGACUUGACUUAGCUCUUGGAGAUGCAGAAACUGCCGUGGCACCUCCACUGGCUGCAUAUUUUUGCCAUUACUUGAUGACCUAUUUGCAUGUAGCUCCUUGCAGAGAAUUUCCUCCCAGGCCAUAUACGGUGAUUUCAUUGCACCACAAACUGACGCUUCUAUUUGCAGCAGCGAUCGAGGCUCCUUCCCGACUUCCUCCUGCCCUUCCUUCCCCACAUCCCUCCCUUUCACUGUAGACAGCCGAGGCGGCUUCGAGCUCCCAUCAAGAAGGCACGCCCUGGACCAUGGCGAAUGCAUCAAGGGAUCCAUCACUGGAAAUGUGCAACAGCCACCAGCAGCGCCCUGGCCGACCCCAUGAGUGCUUUGUGCUAUCCCUACAUCCCCGGGGAAGAGGGGUUGACUUGGGGGUUUCUGACCCUGAGCUCUCUGCUCUUGAACUUUCUGGGGACAAAGGUGAUUUGAAGUCUGAGGCUCUAUUUGUACAGCAAGUUGUCACGUGGCCUACGUGCCAGAGACUAAGACCUUCCCAAGCUGCAAACCAGGGGGCUCACAUGCCUGGAACAAAACUCCUGAGGGUUUUGGAGUUACUGGUUCCAGGAUCUCAAGGCUGCCCCAUUUGGAGCAACACGGGAGCACCUUGCACCCGCUGUUCACGGAGCACCUGCCUCGGGCCAGGCUGCCUGCUGGGUGCUGCAGGAACAAACGUAUUCAGAAAACGAUCUUGGCCAGAAGGUGCCGGAGCUAAAUGCAACCCUCCUGUCUCCCUGGUAGAGCUGGCGAGCACACCAGCGCCCAGAGCCGAGGAAGUGGAAGAACUGGGGCGUGAGAUGUGACUGCCAGGCGCUGGCCCAGCGUCCCAGGGCUGCUCCUGAGCUGUGAUGCACAGUGACAAUCUGGCAUGACUAUUUUUAUUUCCUUUUGGUUUCCAUUGUAGGUAAUUUAUUACAGACUGUCUCCCCACAGAGUAUCCUCAAUUACAUCCUUGGGAAGGGCAAGAGCCCAGAGAACACCAUGAGGCACGGCUGAGUCAGGCUUAGUCAAGGGCGAGCUUGCUUCUGCCAGUGGAGGCCUUAGCACUGGGUCCUGGGGGACCCAAGGUCUAGGAGCAGGGUGGGACCUGAGGACCAAGCAGGGGCUUCCCCUUACCUGGGACCCUGAUGGGGGAUUCUGAAGCAGGGAGCACCUAAGGGUGCCAUCUGCAUCCAAGGUCCUUUUGAAAUGAGGCCUCUUCCACUUCCACUUUUUAAGUUGUGAGCAUUAACACGCAUACCGAAAAGUACAUAGAACAUUAUGCAUAAGAAACAACAAAGCAAACACCCCCAGAUCCGCGGUUCAUGUCGGGAAGUGAGCCGCGCCAGCAGCCCAAGCCCCUCGCACAUCCCUCUCUGGCCAUACUCGAGUCUCCCACCACGGCAUUUGAUGGCAUCUGUUUCCUUCUCCUUUAAUUUUACCACCUGAGUUUGCAUUCCUAAGGAAAACUAUUUGAUUUUACCUGUUUUGAGCUUUCUGUGAAUAGAAUCAUGAUGUAGGGCU